Long non-coding RNA from Marmota flaviventris (yellow-bellied marmot), 1160 nucleotides. RefSeq lists it as uncharacterized. Lineage: Eukaryota; Metazoa; Chordata; Mammalia; Rodentia; Sciuridae. The record is from RefSeq and is a predicted model, not a curated record.
GCGCCCGCCCGCGCCGCUCGGAGGGAGGAAGCGCGGUGAGUGCCGUGGCGACUGCCGGGGCCGAUAACCUUCUGGGAGCCGGCCGCCAGCGGGAUGCAAGGACCUCAGCUAGUGUGCCACGCGGGCCAGCUAUGCAGGGGACAGGGCCUGGGAAACUUCGACCUGGGUUCGUUUCCGAGUCUGCCGCGGGACCUCAGCGUCCUCGCCUGUUUAAUGGGACACUGCCGUGAAAACGGACAUGCAACGCCGGGACCUUCCGAGGCCUGCAGGCCCGAGCACGACUAGUCGAGAAAUUCCUUGGGCGGCGAAAGGGCGCCCUCGUAGCGCUCUCGCCUGUCCUGCCUGCGCGCCCACCUGGAGGUGGCCUCUGGGGCUUCCGGUCUCCGGAGAACACGCGGGAAUGAGAGGGUCUGAGCGCGCCGCGCGCUUCCGGCAGGGCCGGGCGCUGUGCUGGGUGAGAGGAGACCGAACUUCAAAACCGGCGGGCAGAGGGGCGAGGGGCUCCGCCAAGCCCCGGGGCCCUCACCUUCCGGCGGGCCGGAGCAGCGCCAGGCUGCGAGGGAGGUGCCGGGACCCGCUGAGAACUUCCGGGCCCUGCGGGCCUGGUGGCGGGGACUCCAGCCACCGUGCAGAGGGCCUCAGGGCGGUUUAGACUGUCCUCCUGGAUCCGGCCAGGCCUGAGACUUCUUCACUGUGGGGCCGACUUCCUCCUUUAGGGCCUCCGGCAAGACCCUGUGCCACGUUUCGCCGCCCUUUUCGUCCUGUGUUGCCAGGUUCUGCAGUACAGCCACUGAUUGCAGUGAAUGCGUGUCCCUGGAGGGACCUUACCUGGGGAGGAUGCCAGCGUCUGUCACUGGUGAAACUUGGUGAUACAGAAGCCAGGGGAUUCCACUGCUCCUGUGUGUUUCAGUUUAUCCUUAGGAUCUAAAUUUAACCAUCAUUAAGCAGAGACCCAAACCCCAGGGCUGCUGACUCCUAGUCCAGUGCUCGUGAUGGCUGGUGGGCCCUGAACUAGGGGUCUGGAGGCCUAGGUUUGAAUAUCACCAUCCUUCGACCCAGCCAGGUGGCUCAUGGGAUGCGUUGGGGAGACUGUGAAAGGUCGGAGCACAACAAGACACUGAGUCAGGAAAAAAAUAUUACAUAAAAACUGAUAAGACAAG